GGACGAACGCUGGCGGCGUGCCUAAUACAUGCAAGUCGAGCGGACAGAUGGGAGCUUGCUCCCUGAUGUUAGCGGCGGACGGGUGAGUAACACGUGGGUAACCUGCCUGUAAGACUGGGAUAACUCCGGGAAACCGGGGCUAAUACCGGAUGCUUGUUUGAACCGCAUGGUUCAGACAUAAAAGGUGGCUUCGGCUACCACUUACAGAUGGACCCGCGGCGCAUUAGCUAGUUGGUGAGGUAACGGCUCACCAAGGCGACGAUGCGUAGCCGACCUGAGAGGGUGAUCGGCCACACUGGGACUGAGACACGGCCCAGACUCCUACGGGAGGCAGCAGUAGGGAAUCUUCCGCAAUGGACGAAAGUCUGACGGAGCAACGCCGCGUGAGUGAUGAAGGUUUUCGGAUCGUAAAGCUCUGUUGUUAGGGAAGAACAAGUGCCGUUCAAAUAGGGCGGCACCUUGACGGUACCUAACCAGAAAGCCACGGCUAACUACGUGCCAGCAGCCGCGGUAAUACGUAGGUGGCAAGCGUUGUCCGGAAUUAUUGGGCGUAAAGGGCUCGCAGGCGGUUUCUUAAGUCUGAUGUGAAAGCCCCCGGCUCAACCGGGGAGGGUCAUUGGAAACUGGGGAACUUGAGUGCAGAAGAGGAGAGUGGAAUUCCACGUGUAGCGGUGAAAUGCGUAGAGAUGUGGAGGAACACCAGUGGCGAAGGCGACUCUCUGGUCUGUAACUGACGCUGAGGAGCGAAAGCGUGGGGAGCGAACAGGAUUAGAUACCCUGGUAGUCCACGCCGUAAACGAUGAGUGCUAAGUGUUAGGGGGUUUCCGCCCCUUAGUGCUGCAGCUAACGCAUUAAGCACUCCGCCUGGGGAGUACGGUCGCAAGACUGAAACUCAAAGGAAUUGACGGGGGCCCGCACAAGCGGUGGAGCAUGUGGUUUAAUUCGAAGCAACGCGAAGAACCUUACCAGGUCUUGACAUCCUCUGACAAUCCUAGAGAUAGGACGUCCCCUUCGGGGGCAGAGUGACAGGUGGUGCAUGGUUGUCGUCAGCUCGUGUCGUGAGAUGUUGGGUUAAGUCCCGCAACGAGCGCAACCCUUGAUCUUAGUUGCCAGCAUUCAGUUGGGCACUCUAAGGUGACUGCCGGUGACAAACCGGAGGAAGGUGGGGAUGACGUCAAAUCAUCAUGCCCCUUAUGACCUGGGCUACACACGUGCUACAAUGGGCAGAACAAAGGGCAGCGAAACCGCGAGGUUAAGCCAAUCCCACAAAUCUGUUCUCAGUUCGGAUCGCAGUCUGCAACUCGACUGCGUGAAGCUGGAAUCGCUAGUAAUCGCGGAUCAGCAUGCCGCGGUGAAUACGUUCCC
RNAcentral lists this ribosomal RNA (1365 nucleotides) under Bacillus amyloliquefaciens. RNAcentral's name for it is "bacterial SSU rRNA". It matches the Rfam family "Bacterial small subunit ribosomal RNA", at positions 27 to 1375 of the family's 1533-position model. Lineage: Bacteria; Bacillati; Bacillota; Bacilli; Caryophanales; Bacillaceae. The record is from RNAcentral.